UACGUAGGGGGCAAGCGUUGUCCGGAAUCAUUGGGCGUAAAGCGCGCGUAGGUGGCCUCGUAAGUCCGCUGUGAAAGUCAAAGGCUCAACCUUUGAAAGCCGGUGGAUACUGUGAGGCUAGAGUACGGAAGAGGCGAGUGGAAUUCCUGGUGUAGCGGUGGAAUGCGCAGAUAUCAGGAGGAACACCAAUAGCGAAGGCAGCUCGCUGGGACGUAACUGACACUGAGGCGCGAAAGCGUGGGGAGCGAACAGG
Molecule: ribosomal RNA, 253 nt
Filed under: uncultured bacterium
Lineage: Bacteria
Description: partial 16S ribosomal RNA
Rfam family: Bacterial small subunit ribosomal RNA
Source: RNAcentral